This 364-nucleotide unclassified non-coding RNA is filed under the name Hevea brasiliensis (rubber tree). Lineage: Eukaryota; Viridiplantae; Streptophyta; Magnoliopsida; Malpighiales; Euphorbiaceae. The record is from RNAcentral.
UGAUUACUGCAAAUUGCUGAGACAAACAUCCAUUAGCUUAAAUGUGAGCAAAUCAGGGGAGACAUCUUAUUUAUACAAGAGGGAUAACCACGGUCAAUUAUUUCGAGGUCCUAAAAUCUUGAAUCCAGAAUUUAUCCAGAAGUCACCUUUGUCAAAUUCCCAACUUAAAUGUGAGCAAAUCAGAGGAAUCAUCUUAUUUAUACAAGAGAGAUAACCACAGUCAAACCAUUUCAAGUUCCUAAAAUCUUGAAUCCAGAAUUUAUCCAGAAGUCACCUUUGUCAAAUUCCCAACUUAAAUGUGAGCAAAUCAGAGGAAUCAUCUUAUUUAUACAAGAGAGAUAACCACAGUCAAACCAUUUCAAGU